CAGUAGCCACGGUAAUACGGAGGGAGCUAGCGUUGUUCGGAAUUACUGGGCGUAAAGCGCGCGUAGGCGGUUACUCAAGUCAGAGGUAAAAUCCCAGGGCUCAACCCUGGAACUGCCUUUGAUACUGUCGAUCUGGAGUAUGGAAGAGGUGAGUGGAAUUCCGAGUGUAGAGGUGAAAUUCGUAGAUAUUCGGAGGAACACCAGUGGCGAAGGCGGCUCACUGGUCCAUUACUGACGCUGAGGUGCGAAAGCGUGGGGAGCAAACAGGAUUAGAUACCCCCGUAGUCCCUGUCUCUUAUAC
Molecule: ribosomal RNA, 301 nt
Filed under: uncultured bacterium
Lineage: Bacteria
Description: partial 16S ribosomal RNA
Rfam family: Bacterial small subunit ribosomal RNA
Source: RNAcentral